Molecule: ribosomal RNA, 294 nt
Filed under: uncultured bacterium
Lineage: Bacteria
Description: partial 16S ribosomal RNA
Rfam family: Bacterial small subunit ribosomal RNA
Source: RNAcentral
GGAUUAGAUACCCUGGUAGUCCUAGCUGUAAACGAUGGAUACUAGGUGUUGGACGUAUCGACCCGUUCAGUAUCGUAGCUAACGCGUUAAGUAUCCCGCCUGGGGAGUACGCACGCAAGUGUGAAACUCAAAGGAAUUGACGGGGGCCCGCACAAGCGGUGGAGUAUGUGGUUUAAUUCGAUGCAACGCGAAGAACCUUACCAGGGUUUGACAUCCUACGAACGUCCGAGAGAUCGGAUGGUGCCUUCGGGAACGUAGAGAGAGGUGGUGCAUGGCCGUCGUCAGCUCGUGCCG